GGAUACGGCGUAAUAGAGCAUAGAAAUUGAGUGAAUUAUUUAU
This 43-nucleotide non-coding RNA is filed under the name Trypanosoma brucei brucei. Lineage: Eukaryota; Euglenozoa; Kinetoplastea; Trypanosomatida; Trypanosomatidae. The record is from RNAcentral.